AUGGUCACUUCGGCAGCACAUGUACUAAAAUUGGACCGAUAAAGAGAUUUGCACAGCCCCUGUGCAAGGAUGACACACAAAUCUGUGAAAUGUUCCAUAUUUCU
Small nuclear RNA from Grammomys surdaster, 104 nucleotides. The record is from RefSeq and is a predicted model, not a curated record. NCBI's taxonomy places the organism in Eukaryota, Metazoa, Chordata, Mammalia, Rodentia, Muridae.